GCGAGGUAGCUCAGCAGGUUAGAGCGUCGGAUUCAUAACCCGGAGGUCGGGAGUUCAAGUCUCCCUCUCGC
RNAcentral lists this transfer RNA (71 nucleotides) under Aureitalea marina. It matches the Rfam family "tRNA". Rfam says of the family: Transfer RNA (tRNA) molecules are approximately 80 nucleotides in length. Lineage: Bacteria; Pseudomonadati; Bacteroidota; Flavobacteriia; Flavobacteriales; Flavobacteriaceae. The record is from RNAcentral. RNAcentral also lists the same sequence under 1 other name.